This is a long non-coding RNA of Dromaius novaehollandiae (emu), 2683 nucleotides long. RefSeq lists it as uncharacterized. The record is from RefSeq and is a predicted model, not a curated record. NCBI's taxonomy places the organism in Eukaryota, Metazoa, Chordata, Aves, Casuariiformes, Dromaiidae. The transcript has 4 exons.
GCAAGUAUUUAUUGGAAGGGCAGAAGAAACCAGGAAGAAAUCAGUUGUCAAGCCUUCUCUGGCUCUCCUUUCCCAAGAUUUCUCUGAGCUGGGGCCAAACAGCUCCUUCUGCAUCUCUCCAGGCCAGGGCUUGGAUGUGUUGCUGCCUGCAGCUCCUGUGAGCCUGGGAGAAGGGAGUGGGGAGUAACACAGACACAGUUUUGAUGGAAAAAUGUGCUUUGUGUGUUUAGCUUGGGAGGGGGGGUGUUAAUCAUUUGCAUGAGCUAUUUAGUUCUCAGAAUUAUUUCUCUGAAAUUCAUUAACAGGAUUUCUACUGCUGUUUUCUUUCUGGAAUGCUUCUUGAUGUUCUUGUGUCAGCCAGAGCUUUCUCCUCUGUUGCAGAUAAGAGCAAUGGCCAGAACAUGGAACUAUUCCUGUGAGUCAAGACUUCAGCAAUACCUUGAUAUUUGUGAAUUAUGCAGAAUUUGCUUAUAAUACACAGACUUAUCCAGCUCUAUUGCCUAGAGAAAAACACAUUUUAUCAUCACUAUUCAUGCCUUCCAUUCUUGACACCUCUUUGAAAGCACAAGAAGUGCUGCCUUGUGUAACAUUGUGGUCAUCCGCUCUAGGGAGAGAUUCCUGCUACAUUAUGAGUUGGUGGUAAGCCUUACUUUCUGGCAUAAUAAAAAUAGAUGGUCUGUCAAAAGAUGAUGUUCUCAAUGCUUUGUUUUGUAGUUCUAUCCUGCCAUCUUCUCUGAAUUAGCAAAUGUGAAAUGCAGCAUAUGGAUUUAUGAAAAGAAAAGUGCAAGAUGUGAAAUAUCCUGAGUAUCUGGAUCUUCGAACAUACGCAUCUCAAUCCGUUGGAGAACCACUCCUCUAUGCCUUAUAUGCAGUCCUGGUAUAUAGAGGUGUCAGUAGUCAUGCAGGACGUUAUUUCUGCUACACAAAGAAAGUGUGCAGUUCCUCUGAAGACAUGGCUGCUUUUAUUUGCAGGCUGCUGGUAGACUUUGAUAUGAGAUGAAUGAUGCCUCUGUAGUCUUUUGUGAAAUCAAAAUGGUUCUCAGUCAGCAAGCUUAUUUACUUUUUAAUAUCAGAAAUCAAGUCAUUUAAAUGGAAAUGAACCCCUAAAAGAAGAUCCAAAUACCAUUGCUGUUACCCUAGAAAGGCCUUCUUCGGCUCCACCAACAGCUUGUGUUCAAAACUAGGCAAUUACCAGGCCUUUAUUUGCUGAUCCCUCAGAAAAACAAAAGAUCACUUCAUAACAAACUGCCUGCACAUCAAACUGUCUCAGCCUGACUGUUUUAGCAGUGCUGUGGUGGAUGAGGAUCUAAACAAGCCUGUUCCUUCAUCCACAGUGUGGCGGACAGAUGAGUGAAUUUUUGCCUUAAACAUUUCUUGGUACAUAAGGUGAAAGCCUUCCUGCGCACAUUGCAGAUUUUGCAGGAAACCAUAACCCCGAACAAGCCAUCUGUUCCCUGUGGAAACAGGACGGAGCUGCUGCAACCCCGAAAUGGUCUCCCUGCGACCACUCAGGACACACCGAGCCUGCGAAAAACCAGACCACGAUCAGGCAGAGACUUUUGGACCUGGAGUGUAAAUUAUUGCUGCUUAGCACAACUUCCAUAAAACUUGCUUAGCAUGAGCAGCUAAAUUUGCUGAAGCCUUAGGCCGCACUCCUAGUUCAGUCAGAAAGGGCCCCAGAGCUGGUGCAGGCUGGAAAGAUAAGGGAGUUACAAGCAGUCCGCAUUCCUGUGCCCCACACUCCGGGAGGGAGGAGGUCAAGGCUUUGAAAUAAGGCCUGCUUGGGCGCCAGGACCCUGGGAAACAAAGCCUCCUCUCACUGCUGAAACAGUGUUAAUUGGGGUGGGGGGGGUCUGGACUAUCUCCCCCUUGUCAGGACCUUGGGAGAUAACACCUACUGUCACUGCUGGGGCAGUGUUAAUUGCUGGAAUUACUAUCUCCGGGUCGUCAGGACCUUGAGAGACAACGGUGGGACCCAAGGAAUGAAGACACCUCUGUCAGCAGAAACCGCAACAGGAAAGAUAAACAGCCUGCCUAGGGACAGUGAUGAGACCCAAUGAGCAGCAUGGGACCCCAGACCUGAAUAUUACUAUUGGUCUGAAUUACUGCGUGAGGGGUGGAGAGCUUAGACUGGAAAGUUAUAAUUGCCCAGGGAUUUCUUUGUUUGUGGUCCCUCUUCGGAGGCACCCGGCUCGAGCUGCAAUUACUGCACGCGCGUCAUUACAAUUUAUUUAUUUAAUUUGCCUUGAUUUGGCCCUGAACUUUUCCAAGACACCCAGGGUGAAGAGGAUCAAUGAGACACCGCUGGAUCCACGGGUGGUGAUCUCUCUUUCUUUCUCUCUCUCUUUCUGUCUCUCUCCUUCCUCUCUUUUGAUGAAAGUUUAUAAGAUCUGUUCAAAUCGUGUGGCACGGGACUUGUUUAUCUAGUUAAGGUAGCCAUCAUCGAGUUAUCAUAUUUAGCCACAUGCCUUGUCUUUUGUAUUAAUAAAUCAUAAAACUGAUUGGUUGGCUGGCAUCAUUUCACCUUAGUUCAGUCCAAGAGCAUCACGAACUUGGUUGUUGGUCCCAAGGAGAGGGAAGUCGUCCUAAACGACUGCUUUCGGGCUGUGACACACAGUUGCAAACUCUUCUGCAGCAGAGUCUAGCUCAGAUGCAUCCACCAUGUCAAUUGCUACUAACAUCU